Molecule: ribosomal RNA, 294 nt
Filed under: uncultured bacterium
Lineage: Bacteria
Description: partial 16S ribosomal RNA
Rfam family: Bacterial small subunit ribosomal RNA
Source: RNAcentral
GGAUUAGAUACCCUGGUAGUCCACGCCGUAAACGAUGUCAACUAGCCGUUGGGCCUAUUUACAGGUUUAGUGGCGCAGCUAACGCGAUAAGUUGACCGCCUGGGGAGUACGGCCGCAAGGUUAAAACUCAAAGGAAUUGACGGGGGCCCGCACAAGCGGUGGAGCAUGUGGUUUAAUUCGAUGCAACGCGAAGAACCUUACCAGCCCUUGACAUCCAGUGAACUUUCUAGAGAUAGAUUGGUGCCUUCGGGAACACUGUGACAGGUGCUGCAUGGCUGUCGUCAGCUCGUGCCG